Small nucleolar RNA from Telopea speciosissima, 141 nucleotides. RefSeq annotates it as small nucleolar RNA snoR136. The record is from RefSeq and is a predicted model, not a curated record. The transcript has a single exon. Lineage: Eukaryota; Viridiplantae; Streptophyta; Magnoliopsida; Proteales; Proteaceae.
AUGCUUCACUGUUGUAUACUUAAUAUGUGCUGCUUGAGUUGUUGCAUUCUAGUGGCAUUAUAUCUGUGAAGUCAUAUGAAUGUUCCUCUCGCUAUCCAGUGUGAUUACAAUGUUGCAUUUGGACGUUGGGGACCUACAUGG